UAUUUGAAGGGCAAUGAACUUGAAGUCUGCCUUGCUCAAGACAUGUGCUCAGCACCUCAGUACCUGGGUGGAAGCCCACAGAACGAGCAUGCAUCUGGUUCUGAUGUACCUGCCAACCUGGCCUGGAGAUAGAUGCUUAGGCUGUGUGGCCCACAUCUGACCUGUUUGAGAUGAGCAGGUCCUUGGCUCAGCAGCACCAAAGGUUUUGAUUACUUCAGAGCACUAGGUGGCCUCUUGUCUUCUGUGACAAUCCUGGACCUCCUCCUCACUUCUAUUUUGUCAGAGUUAAUUGCCCGGCAGUGGGGUGUCUCUCAUGGUGGGAUGACCAAGAAAUACUGCAGGGAAGGAAAGACUCCUCACAGAAAAAAUUGACAAGACAUAGACACAUGAAAUUGCAUCAACUACAGUGGACCUAUCAGCCAAAAGUGCAUCUAUCUCAUUUGUACUUGGAUGUAGCUAAGGGUAGUAUGCUGUGCCACUUGCUGCCUCUUAAAAAUCUCAUCAAGUCUACCUGACUGGCAGAAAUUUUUAGAAGAUCCCUACUGGGGCCAUUUGUGAGGUGGCCCUGAGCAGUCCAGGCCAGUGAGGAGAAGGGGAUGAAGGUUUGGAGCAGAUAGACACGGUUUGCCCUGCCUGUGCCUUUGGGACCAGGCUUUCCUUAGAAGAGCCAGCUUUGUGAAUGUGACCUCCCGCUGCUGUAGCACUUUACAGCCCAACAGCCUGGUCAAGGAGUAAGCUUUCCUGAACUGCAGGAGCGACUGAGGUUGGCACUGGCAGGGCUCAGAAGGUGUGAGACCUUGCUUCCCCUGGCCUUUCUACCUGCACAUAGAGAAAACUGGAAAAAAUUGAGUAUGUGCACCUCUCCUCACAGAUGGGGCAGUUUGGAUCAAACCUGCUGCGCCCACCUCUAUUCCUGAAAGUGGGCACCAUGUCCGAGGGGCAGAAUGAGGUGUGACAGGUUUGACACCUUUCAUUUCAGUGCUCAAAUCAGUAUCUAGUUUGUUUAAGUGUACAAAAUUCCAGCCAACUAAGUGGGCUUGCCUUCUGCUGAGAGCCAGUUCUGGUGGAUACAACUCAUGCUGAUCUCCCAGAAGUGCUUCAGCCAGACACCUCAUCUUUUAAAAAAAAAAAUUAUUAAAAAAAUGU
Molecule: long non-coding RNA, 1146 nt
Organism: Nannospalax galili (Upper Galilee mountains blind mole rat)
Lineage: Eukaryota; Metazoa; Chordata; Mammalia; Rodentia; Spalacidae
Exons: 5
Source: RefSeq, a predicted model, not a curated record